CUUGGCCUACGGCUUUAUCCAAAGAACACAAAAACCUGUAUCUGAAGAGCCACGAGGUUCCAGAUGCUAGCAUGAUGCCAAGCAGACUUCCCUGGACAGACAACCCACCAAUGUGUCCUGGAGCUCCGAUACCCCAGAACGCCGCCCCACUAGGGAAAGAGAGAGACAGACUGGGAGUAUGGAUGGACCUGUCAACACCCAUGUUCAGCGGGGAAGCAAUUACAGAAGCCAGAGUUUCAACCUUUUGCCUCCCACAAUGACCUUGGGUCCAUACUCCCAGAGGGUUAGAGAAUAGGAAAGCUAUCAAGGGAGGGGAUGGGAUACAGAGUUCUGUUGGUGGGAAUGGUGUGGAGUUGCACCUCUCUUAUCCUAUAGUUCUGUCAGUGUUUCCGUUUUAUAAAUAAAAUAAAAUAAAAUAAAAAAGAAAUGUACUCGGUCAAGCAGCCCCGGAGGUAGUGCAACAGCUAGAAUGUCAGAUUUGUACUCUCUCUGGUUGGAUCCCUGGGCAUCAUAUGAACCGAAGUAACGUUCUGGUUCUCUGCCUCUUUCUCAAUGCAGUUGUUAAAUAAUCUUUUUAAAAUAUGUGUUAUAAUAAAAAUACAUUUACUCAGUUAAA
This is a long non-coding RNA of Erinaceus europaeus (western European hedgehog), 616 nucleotides long. RefSeq lists it as uncharacterized. The record is from RefSeq and is a predicted model, not a curated record. NCBI's taxonomy places the organism in Eukaryota, Metazoa, Chordata, Mammalia, Eulipotyphla, Erinaceidae. The transcript has 2 exons.